Molecule: ribosomal RNA, 1362 nt
Filed under: Paenibacillus sedimenti
Lineage: Bacteria; Bacillati; Bacillota; Bacilli; Caryophanales; Paenibacillaceae
Description: Bacterial large subunit ribosomal RNA
Rfam family: Bacterial large subunit ribosomal RNA
Source: Rfam by way of RNAcentral
AGCGAUGGAGUGACGCAGAAGGAUAGUGACGCAGACUGAUGGAUGUCUGUCCAAGCAGUGAGGCUGGUGUGUAGGCAAAUCCGCACACCGUAAGGCUGGGCUGUGACGGGGAGGGAAAAUUACAGUACCGAAGGUCAUGAUUUCACACUGCCAAGAAAAGCUUCUAGCCAGGCGAAGGUGCCCGUACCGCAAACCGACACAGGUGGGCGAGAAGAGAAUUCUAAGGCGCGCGGAAGAACUCUCGUUAAGGAACUCGGCAAAAUGACCCCGUAACUUCGGGAGAAGGGGUGCCUCGGUAGGGUGAAUAGCCCGAGGGGGCCGCAGUGAAAAGGCCCAAGCGACUGUUUAGCAAAAACACAGGUCUGUGCGAAGCCGCAAGGCGAAGUAUACGGGCUGACGCCUGCCCGGUGCUGGAAGGUUAAGGGGAGCGGUUAGGGGUUAAACCCGAAGCUGUGAACCGAAGCCCCAGUAAACGGCGGCCGUAACUAUAACGGUCCUAAGGUAGCGAAAUUCCUUGUCAGGUAAAUUCUGACCCGCACGAAUGGCGUAACGACUUGGGCGCUGUCUCAACGAGAGAUCCGGUGAAAUUUUAAUACCUGUGAAGAUGCAGGUUACCCGCGACAAGACGGAAAGACCCCAUGGAGCUUUACUGCAGCUUGAUAUUGGACUUUGGUACGAUCUGUACAGGAUAGGUGGGAGCCGUUGAAGCCUGAGCGCCAGCUUGGGUGGAGGCGCCGUUGGGAUACCACCCUGAUCGUAUCGGAGUUCUAACCUGGGACCGUAAACCGGUUCGGGGACAGUGUCAGGUGGGCAGUUUGACUGGGGCGGUCGCCUCCUAAAAAGUAACGGAGGCGUCUAAAGGUUCCCUCAGAAUGGUUGGAAAUCAUUCGCAGAGUGCAAAGGCAUAAGGGAGCUUGACUGCGAGACAAACAGGUCGAGCAGGGACGAAAGUCGGGCUUAGUGAUCCGGUGGUACCGAAUGGAAGGGCCAUCGCUCAACGGAUAAAAGCUACCCUGGGGAUAACAGGCUUAUCUCCCCCAAGAGUCCACAUCGACGGGGAGGUUUGGCACCUCGAUGUCGGCUCAUCGCAUCCUGGGGCUGAAGUAGGUCCCAAGGGUUGGGCUGUUCGCCCAUUAAAGCGGUACGCGAGCUGGGUUCAGAACGUCGUGAGACAGUUCGGUCCCUAUCUGUCGCGGGCGUAGGAAAUUUGAGAGGAGCUGUCCUUAGUACGAGAGGACCGGGAUGGACGUACCGCUGGUGUACCAGUUGUCUCGCCAGAGGCAUCGCUGGGUAGCUAUGUACGGAGGGGAUAAGCGCUGAAAGCAUCUAAGCGUGAAGCCCCCCUCAAGAUGAGAUUUCCCA